This 215-nucleotide ribosomal RNA is filed under the name Epitranus sp. D1774. RNAcentral describes it as "partial 28S ribosomal RNA". It matches the Rfam family "Eukaryotic large subunit ribosomal RNA", at positions 967 to 1163 of the family's 3401-position model. Lineage: Eukaryota; Metazoa; Arthropoda; Insecta; Hymenoptera; Chalcididae. The record is from RNAcentral.
UUUCCCUCAGGAUAGCUGGCACUCGCUUGAGCGAGUCUCAUCUGGUAAAGCGAAUGAUUAGAGGCCUUGGGGCCGAAACGACCUCAACCUAUUCUCAAACUUUAAAUGGGUGAGAUCUCUGGCUUGCUUGAACGUUGAAGCCACGAGAUUAUAAUUGACAAUGGAUCAGAGUGCCAAGUGGGCCAAUUUUGGUAAGCAGAACUGGCGCUGUGGGA